RNAcentral lists this ribosomal RNA (253 nucleotides) under uncultured bacterium. RNAcentral's name for it is "partial 16S ribosomal RNA". It matches the Rfam family "Bacterial small subunit ribosomal RNA", at positions 524 to 776 of the family's 1533-position model. The record is from RNAcentral.
UACAGAGGUGGCAAGCGUUGUUCGGAUUUAUUGGGCGUAAAGGGUCCGUAGGCGGCCAAGCAAGUCGGAUGUGAAAUCCCACAGCUCAACUGUGGAACUGCAUUCGAAACUGCUAGGCUAGAGUAUGGAAGGGGUGAAGGGAAUUCCCGGUGUAAGGGUGAAAUCUGCAGAGAUCGGGAGGAAUACCUGUCGCGAAGGCGCUUCACUGGUCCACUACUGACGCUCAGGGACGAAAGCUAGGGUAGCAAACGGG